Molecule: unclassified non-coding RNA, 332 nt
Filed under: soil metagenome
Description: partial contains 5.8S ribosomal RNA, internal transcribed spacer 2, and large subunit ribosomal RNA
Rfam family: 5.8S ribosomal RNA (bases 1-120)
Source: RNAcentral
GAUGAAGAACGUAGCGAAAUGCGAUAAGUAGUGUGAAUUGCAGAAUUCAGUGAAUCAUCGAAUCUUUGAACGCACAUUGCGCCCUUUGGUAUUCCUUAGGGCAUGCCUGUUCGAGCGUCAUUUAAACCUUCAAGCUCAGCUUGGUGUUGGGUGACUGUCCGCUUCACCGCGGACUCGCCUCAAAAUUAUUGGCGGCCGGUACAUUGGCUUCGAGCGCAGCAGAAACGCGAACUCGGGCCCGUCGUAUUGGCUCCCAGAAGCUAUCUUCACAAUUUUGACCUCGGAUCAGUUAGGGAUACCCGCUGAACUUAAGCAUAUCAAUAAGCGGAGGA